CCUCCUCUUCAAACCAUGGCAACAGCUUAGCCCAGCCGGAGAAAGAAACAAGUAAACAAUUCACCGCUGUCCCUGCGUCAUCUUCCCUUCUGAGAGGACAGACACAGAACCUGAGUGGCCUCCGUAAACACCCAGCUGCGUUGGAGCUGAAAACGCCACUGCACUCUGUGUCUCUGCAACCCAAUUCAUCAGAAAGUAUAUCUUUGAUCACAGUUAUGAAGACUCUUAGCUAUCACCCUCAGUACCUUUAGCAGUGUUGCUAUUAGAGGUCAUGAACUUGCUCUUGUAUGUCUGUAGGAGAAUCCACUGAUCUACUGGUGAUAACUGCUAAGCUGAUAGGGGCUUGAGAGUUGCACCACUCAGACUUUGACUGCAGGGAGGAAUGACAGACACCACUCUGAGUGAGGACUGGAGCUACUACCUGAUCUUUACAACAUGACUCUCCUGCAACUGUCUAGAAAGUAUUCAAAGUACAAUGUGUGUCUGUGACUGAAUGACACGUUCAUGGCCGAGCUCAUUGCUUUGUGUGAAGCAGGUGGUUAGGGGAGAGGUGGAGGCAGGACGGCCUGUUUGAACCUGGGUUCCUUUGAUUAGGCCGAGGUAGGUAGAUCAAGCCUUCUUAUCACCUGCAGCCUCUAAUGACCCUGCCCUGUUUGCAGGUGAGAGACGCUGUGAUAAGGAGCAGGCUGCCCAGGGCUAACAGCACAAGCUCAUCUCCUCUCCUCUGCUCUGUGGAUUGAGAUACUGCUGGUGGUUUUGUGGACUCCCUGCUCUGAGAGUAAAUGUGUAAUCUCAGGAGUGUUUAAAAAGACAUGGUGGGCGCUCACCUGAAAUAGGGAGGAGGAGAUGGAGGAGCAGGCAGACAUUUUGGGGGAGGGGUCGUUGUGGAGUGAGGGAAGAGAGUGAGACGUGAGGGGAGAGAAAAUGAAGGUGUGUGUGAUCUCCUGCUGAAGAAAUGACUGCAUGCUGCUGCCUGUAGGUGUAUCUGCUGCCUGUAGGUGUAUCUGCUGCCUGUAGGUGUAACUGCUGCCUGUAGGUGUAACUGCUGCCUGUAGGUGUAUCUGCUGCCUGUAGGUGUAACUGCUGCCUGUAGGUGUAUCUGCUGCCUGUAGGUGUAACUGCUGCCUGUAGGUGUAACUGCUGCCUGUAGGUGUAUCUGCUGCCUGUAGGUGUAACUGCUGCCUGUAGGUGUAUCUGCUGCCUGUAGGUGUAACUGCUGCCUGUAGGUGUAUCUGCUGCCUGUAGGUGUAUCUGCUGCCUGUAAGUGUAACUGCUGCCUGUAGGUGUAACUGCUGCCUGUAUGUGUAACUGCUGCCUGUAUGUGUAACUGCUGCCUGUAGGUGUAUCUGCUGCCUGUAGGUGUAUCUGCUGCCUGUAGGUGUAUCUGCUGCCUGUAGGUGUAUCUGCUGCCUGUAGGUGUAACUGCUGCCUGUAGGUGUAACUGCUGCCUGUAUGUGUAACUGCUGCCUGUAGGUGUAUCUGCUGCCUGUAGGUGUAUCUGCUGCCUGUAGGUGUAUCUGCUGCCUGUAGGUGUAACUGCUGCCUGUAGGUGUAACUGCUGCCUGUAUGUGUAACUGCUG
Oncorhynchus keta (chum salmon) is the source of this 1580-nucleotide long non-coding RNA. RefSeq lists it as uncharacterized. The record is from RefSeq and is a predicted model, not a curated record. The transcript is spliced from 3 exons. Lineage: Eukaryota; Metazoa; Chordata; Actinopteri; Salmoniformes; Salmonidae.